AAGGCAUCCGACAACAGUAGACUCGUCAGCAACCUCAGAAAUAUUCGAGCUUCUCCUGGAUUACUGAGACAGAAAGCCGUUCCGCUCCAUCAGACAUCCCAACCGAGCUUCAGCCAUCAGACUCGAACUCUCUGGCAAGUCACGACAAUGGCCACUACCCCACUCCACUCUCUAUAACAGGUUCCAUGCGGCACCACUACUCUCUGGCAAGUCGCGACAACGGACAUCACUUCACUCU
This 238-nucleotide long non-coding RNA is filed under the name Elaeis guineensis (African oil palm). Its description in RNAcentral is "long non-coding RNA (EGUI_LNC071418)". The record is from RNAcentral. Lineage: Eukaryota; Viridiplantae; Streptophyta; Magnoliopsida; Arecales; Arecaceae.